Molecule: ribosomal RNA, 223 nt
Filed under: uncultured bacterium
Lineage: Bacteria
Description: partial 16S ribosomal RNA
Rfam family: Bacterial small subunit ribosomal RNA
Source: RNAcentral
GAUCAUGGCUCAGGACGAACGCUGGCGGCGUGCCUAAUACAUGCAAGUAGAACGCUGAAGGAAGGAGCUUGCUCUUUCCGGAUGAGUUGCGAACGGGUGAGUAACGCGUAGGUAACCUGCCUGGUAGCGGGGGAUAACUAUUGGAAACGAUAGCUAAUACCGCAUAACAGUAGAUAUCGCAUGAUAUGUGCUUAAAAGGUGCAAUUGCACCACUACCAGAUGG